CAGGGAUGCGAUGGCGGAGUCGCUGCCCCUGGAGAUGCUCACAUAUAUUCUGAGCUUCCUGCCUCUGUCAGAUCAGAAAGAAGCCUCCCUCGUGAGUUGGGCUUGGUACCGUGCUGCCCAGAAUGCCCUUCGGGAGCAUCAGUUUGGUGAAAAAAAGGAUGUCACCUCUUCCUGAGGAAGCAGAGAGGUUGGGGUGGAAACAUGGAGCUAUUUGCAGAGAAGUUCCUCAGAGGCAUCUCCUUCCUCAGCGGCCCCUUCACUCAGUGGAUUUGGAGACCAGGUUGUCUCAGGAGAGUAAAAAGAGACAUAGAGGCCAGGGCUUCAGCAGAGAGGGUUGGAGCAGUCACAGGACAGGAGGAAGAUGGAAAAUUACCAGAGACACAUAGAGAGGGUGUGGGCAGCCUUACUCAAAUGUUUCUGCUGUGCCGGGCACUGUGCUGGGCACCAGCGAGGCAAAACUGAGGAAGGCACAGGGCUGGGGAGUGUGUAGUGAGUACAGAUGAGUAAAAAGAGGCUGGGGUGCUGCAUUUGAAGUCUGUGUGAGGCACAUCAUGGGUGCAGAGAAAAGAUCAGAAAAGACUCCAUGGAGAAGGAGGUCCUUGGCCUGAGACUCGAGAGAGGAAUAAACAUUUGCCAAAUAGACCAAUAGGAGCCAGUGAGGGGUGGGACGGGACCCCCCCCAGAACAGAAAAAGCAGCUGAGCAGAGGCGUGCGGUACAGGACAAUGGUCAGAAGUGGCAGCCCCAGAGCCAGGACUAGGAGGAAGGGGAACGGGCUUGGGAAGAGCUUGGCUGAAGCAGCAGGCCUGGGUCCUAGAAGGGCUUGAAUGCAGGCUUAGGAAGCUUAGCCUGUGUCCUGGAGGCGUGUGGAACUGGCAGAGGGUCUGGAGAGCACAGGCAGAAUCGCCUUUUGGAAGGGUCACAUGGUGACAAAACCCAGGAUGGAUUGGAGCCAGAGGAACUGGAGGCCAGGACCUGAUAAGGAGGAAGCUGGCGUGGUCUGAGCUUAGAGGAAGCAGCUCUCGGGCUCCUGGCAUACAGUAUGGGGACCUCAACUAGGGCAGAAGCAGUGAGGUUGGAGCAGAGGGACAGAUUGCACCGUAUCAGGGAAACAAAAGUGGACGGGGCUUGGGUCAUUGUGGAUGUGGGGAGUGAGGGAGGAUUCUAGAAUCACUCCCAAAUUUCCCACUUGGGUGACUCAAUAGAGGGUGGGGAGAGUUUAGAAGGAGCAGAGUUGGAGGAUGAGAUGAUGAAUUCAGAUUUGGGUAUGCUGCAUCAUGCCCUCUGGAGAGAGGUCAAUCAGGCACUUGGCUCCCAGGGUCUGGUGUUCAGGAAAAUCAUGUGGAUCGGAAAGACAGUAGUUGGAAUGAUGGCCCCAUGGGGCAAAAUGCAGUUGGCCAGGGUACACUCGGAGGGGCACAAAGAUCGUGUGCAUAUGUGCACGUGCACACGUGUGUGUGUUCUUGGGUGGAACAAACCAUGGGGAACCCACUCAUCUGUGGACUGGAUCUCUGUUCUUUGUUGACCCCAAAAGAGCCUGAAGAAGAGCAGGCUAGAAGGUAGGAGGAAAGCCAGGAGGGCAGAGUUGCAGAACCCCAGUGGAGAUGGCAUCAAGGGGAGUGGCUGCUGGCCAUGCAGAGCAGGUGACAUGGCAGAGAGAACCCUUGUGGGAGGUCUGAGGUGAAGCCCCCACAUGUUGGUGACCUUGCUGGAGGGGAGUUGUUGCCAGGAAUGCGUGAUCCUGUGGGGGCCAGGGUGGAGGGGUGAGCAGGUGAGGCGAGGGGCAACGAGUGGCGGGACAGCAGGCAUGCCUGUGCCUGUGUGCUUCCAAGAAGCGUGGCUGUAGAGGAAGGGGAGAGAAGAGAGGCAAGAGGAAGGGGUGCAGGAUGAAAGGAGGCUUUUAGUUGCAGUUUAAGACUCUGGGGUGUUUGUGGCCUCUGAAGAAGGAGCAGUGGAAAGGCAGAAACAUCAGGGUUCUCAGAGGAGAAGGUGCAGCAGGAGAAGGCCAGGAGAAGAAGUCUUCUGGAAGCAAAAGAGCAGGAGAAGGAGGAAGGUUCAGAUGGGCCCUGCCUGGAGGCAGCUGGUGGACAUGAACAGGGGAAAGGGAGGGACUUCCCACUUGAUGGCCAUCCCUGAGAAUCCUGGGUGAGGGAGGGUGUAUCAGUAGGGCCAGGAGCUGGAGAGGGAGGGGCUUGGAGAGAAGUCUUGGGGCGGGGUGGGAAUCGAGCAAGGAGGCCAUGACUUCCUGGGCGGAGUUCUGUAUCCCUGGUACAGACUCUGAGGAGGCAGCUGGUCUUGCCAGCCCUGGCCGGGCCAGGAGAAUGGGCACAGCAGCACGACUGAGGCAGGGCAACAAGGACCCCGAGGAGAGGUUGUCACAGGGCAAAGCCUCAUGGAGCCCAGCAAAGAUGGGGCAGUCAGAGGAGCCCAAGUGGGGCAGGGCUGGAGGAAGGAGAAGGAAGCCAGAGUGAGUGUUUUAGAGCGGGAGCUGCUCCAGCCAACCAUGCUCUCCAGAUAGAAUGCGGACAGAGACAGAUGACAGAGCCUUGGGAUAACCAAAAACAAGAAAAAGAAAAAAGGAAUGUUGACAAAGAACCUCUGGUGCCUCUGCGAAACUCAGCCCCACCUAGGCUGGGAGCACUGGGAGGCCAGGCCACAGGUACCUGGCAUCACCCCUACCUGGCAUCACCCCUACCAUGUGCCAGAGAGCGCCUGCGGGACCCUGCAGGCAGGAACCAUCUCCCAGGGCUCGGGCAUGGGCAGGUGGAUACUGAGGCAGUAGCAGUUAGGUACCAGUUAGGUGCUGUGGAAGACAUUGGCUUACCGAGGCCCAGCUAGAGCUGGUGACUCACCAAGCUGGGCUAGGACGCUGGUCUUGGGGACUUACUUUCCCUGACCAGUCCCUCCUGUUCCCUUAAUCCCAAUUUUCUCAAAUAAGGAUGCUGGCAAAGGCAGCACCCUCCAUAUGUACCGGCCCUGUCCGUUCCUGGGGGAGCCCUGGUUGUCUCUGCUGGUUGGUCCCCAUGAAGCAAUAGCUGAAGAGAGCUCUUUGUGCCCUCCCUGCCUGAGGGAUUGAUGAAGUCCUGGAGCAGCCUCUGUAUGACCCACUAGUCUAACUCUUCUCUAGAGACCAAUGCCCUGGGUGCCAGGGCUUACAUUUCCCAACGGCCUCCUGGAGAACAAGCAUGGUAGCUUUGGAGUCCUGUAUUAGGCAGGAUGAAGGGCCAUUUUCUCUGUCACAUGGCUUUCCAAG
Molecule: long non-coding RNA, 3252 nt
Filed under: Pan troglodytes (chimpanzee)
Lineage: Eukaryota; Metazoa; Chordata; Mammalia; Primates; Hominidae
Description: long non-coding RNA NONPTRT006364
Source: RNAcentral